RNAcentral lists this microRNA precursor (122 nucleotides) under Gossypium hirsutum (cotton). Its description in RNAcentral is "MIR7504 microRNA precursor family". It matches the Rfam family "MIR7504 microRNA precursor family". The record is from Rfam by way of RNAcentral. Lineage: Eukaryota; Viridiplantae; Streptophyta; Magnoliopsida; Malvales; Malvaceae.
AAUAGUUUUAUGCCAUAUCAGUAUUCUUAUCCUGAAUUUCAGUAUUUUAAUUUGGAUUUGAUUUUUUUCAGGAUAAAAUCCUGAAAUUCAGGAUAAGAAUACUGAUGUGACAUAAAACUAUU